UAUUAAAAUUUUCAUCCAUUUCUAUUGAUAAAAACUAGCGUGGCUGACAGAAUAACCAGAAAGUUACAUGUGGUGGGCCAUGUAUACCUCAUUCUGACAUACAGGGACCGGUUUUUAAUAGUAGAAUGGAUGAAAUUUUUAAUA
This is a non-coding RNA of Gossypium hirsutum (cotton), 144 nucleotides long. The record is from Rfam. Lineage: Eukaryota; Viridiplantae; Streptophyta; Magnoliopsida; Malvales; Malvaceae.